GGUCGGGCAGUGUAUGAUUGUGGUUGGAAUGAGGUCUUUGAUUAUUCCGUAUGUAGUCCUUCUAUGGACAGAUAUAUUCCCUACCGAUAUACAUGAUUGCUGGAUGUUAUUCAUAUACAGAACUAGUGACUUAGUCUAGAGUACCUUAAAUCCAGAUAACAUGAAAUCCGUCAUGUUUAUUUCCCCAGUAAUACCACACUGCUGCUCUCUGUGGGAAUCAUAGGAGUGCUUCUGCUGAUGCUGCUGUUACUCGCUGUUAUCAUGAUUCUGUGCAGAAGAUCCGCAAUGGCACAGGCCAGGAACACAGAAAACACGGCUGCCCUCACUCCCACUGUAAAACCCGGGGAUGAAGUGACAUACAUCUCAGUAACAGCAAAAGCCAGAAAUACAGCACGUUCAUCUACUCAGGUUGUGCCAUUAGACAACAUGGUAAGAACCUGGCAAACUGAACAUAAACUGAGCCCCAUCCAUCCAUCCAUCCAUCCAUCCAUCAUGAACCAUUAUCUCUAAAUAAUUUCCUUGAGUUGCAUAUUAUUGAUUGUGGCAUAAAUGAAAAUCCAUGCAUUUAAUUUGGGUUUCUGCAGCUUGAAACAGUGCUGCCACAGUCUUGAAGACAAUGCAGCCUAGUAACAGUGUGUCCUCCCUUAGGCUGGUUUACACUCAAUGCUUGUCAUGCAUAUAUUUACCUGACCUGUCAUUCCUAAGUGGUGUUGCUGCUCAUACUUCCCCGUAUAGUAUACGUCAGUUAUAUAUACUGUUACACCAGGGGUCUCCAACUCCGGUCCUGGAGAGCUACUAUCCAGUGGGUUUUCUAU
This is a non-coding RNA of Paramormyrops kingsleyae, 815 nucleotides long. The record is from RefSeq and is a predicted model, not a curated record. NCBI's taxonomy places the organism in Eukaryota, Metazoa, Chordata, Actinopteri, Osteoglossiformes, Mormyridae.